AAAAAAAAAAAAAAAACUUGUUCGAGUCAAAUGGGCCUUCGAAUCACUUGAACCUAGCUUUAGUGGAAACGGUUCUUGCAGGUAUAAAUGUAGGUACAAAUGUAGGUAACGGUAUUUGUAUACAAGCAUUUUUCAUAAGACUGGGCCGGUUUAACCUGCCAAUCGAAAUAGUUAUAUAAAUACAUUGAAGCAAAUGUGUUUGGGUCCGCAUAACUUGCCAGGGAUCUCACGGGCAAUAAGACAUCGUAGGCUAAUAGGCCCCAAUAUUAGGAAAUUGUCUUUAGAAAUGUCUAGCGUAUUCGGGCAUUGUUUGUAGAAUUAUUAAGCGAGUAAAUGGAAUAGACUAUCCUGCGCAUAUUCUACCAUCCUGGUUAAACAUGGCUUUUCGAAUAAAUCGGACACAAGUUUUGCGCACGAGAAUACCAACUGCUCCCUGUGGAAAGUAAUCAAAAAAACAGGCAACACAUGGGCCAGAAGCAACGAAGAGCGAGCUGAAAAAUUUUCUAACCACCUUUCUGACACAUUUACUCCAUAUAAUAUUAACAACGCUAACUCCAAGUGUCAUACAGACGUAGACGCGCGAAAUACUAGUAUUUCAACUAACAAGCACUACACCAUACCUAGUACAAUAGCACAAGAAAUUAGAAUCAUAAUCAAGCACCAGGAAUCGACCUAAUCAAUGGUAAAAUCUUAAAAAACCUUCCCCUAAAAGCAAUACGAUUAAUGACAAUAAUGUUCAAUGCAAUUUUAAGAAUUCAAUACUUUCCUACGAAAUACUUUCCUAUGAAAGCCUCUUACAAACAAUCAAAAAACAUUUCCCGGAACAAAUCUUUCACUUAUUCAAAUCAUACCUAAAUUAUGGAACCUUGGUAAUAAAAAUAAAGAACAGUUACUCUGAAAUUAAAGACUUCAAGGAAGAGGUACCGCAAGGAAGCGUCUUAGGGCCAAUAUUAUAUAUACUAUACACGGCCAACAUACCAACAACUACCAACAGCCAAAUUCUGAUAUUCGAGGACGUUUACCGAAUGUCCAGCUGGACAAAUCGUAAAGCACAAACUAAAAA
Long non-coding RNA from Bombus terrestris (buff-tailed bumblebee), 1063 nucleotides. RefSeq lists it as uncharacterized. The transcript is spliced from 2 exons. NCBI's taxonomy places the organism in Eukaryota, Metazoa, Arthropoda, Insecta, Hymenoptera, Apidae. The record is from RefSeq and is a predicted model, not a curated record.